AGGACAGUCUGGAGACGGAAGUGGCAGAUGAACCUCUUGUCUGGGCUGAGGAAAAUCUGGACCCGACUGAGGACCUCACCCCCAUCAUACAGGAGGAAGCAGAAGAACCAGCAGCCAUCCAGCCCAAGGCCCAAGCAGAGACCAGGACCACCUGGAGGAGACACCUGACUCAGGCUUUCAGGAGGAUGUUCUGCCUCUGCUGACACCAAUGUCUGUGUGCCCCGUUUGUGUGUGUAUAUAAUAAAUAUGUACAUUGU
Thalassophryne amazonica is the source of this 257-nucleotide long non-coding RNA. RefSeq lists it as uncharacterized. The transcript is spliced from 2 exons. The record is from RefSeq and is a predicted model, not a curated record. NCBI's taxonomy places the organism in Eukaryota, Metazoa, Chordata, Actinopteri, Batrachoidiformes, Batrachoididae.